ACCUGACAGCGGAUGUGGUAUCAUGUACUGUAGUUGUCACAAAUGUGUACAUUGCAUUCUCAUGAUCCAACUGCUCCAUGUUUUUCAUUGAUUUAUUGUCUUUCUUUUGAUAUAGGCAGGGGAAAUGGGUGGAUCCAAAUCUCUAAACACAAGAGAUCUGCUAAUGUGCUAUGUUGGUCUAAUAGGUAAGGUAAUUUAUAUUUUUGCUAUGCGCGUGUUUUUUAUGUCAUGGUUACUUAAAUAUUAAGAUGAUGAAUGAUUUAUUUUGGUUUAAGCUUCCAAUGUAUUAAGUUGAUUAGCUUCUAAGCUAUCCAGUUCUUCAUUUAUAAAAGGUGUACCUUAAGUUAGACUACUAGUUAUUAACAACUUGUUCAUGAUCUGUGUUGUCUUUGCAUCAUCAUUUGUUCUUCUUGUCAAGAUGCUUAUAUGCAUAUUUUCCAUACAUGUCGCAUAAGAGCCGGUAUUUCUUCUUUUAAUAUUCUCCCUUUUUUUGGUCUAAUAUGCGGAAUGUGCGCCUACUUCAUAACAAUUCAGUUAUGGCCGCGGAUGUUUUACUUAUUCGAGCUUCAUGGAUGUUUCAGUUUUCUUAGAUGCUAUUAUGUAUUCAGCAAGAUGUCAUCACACUUUUUUUUGUAUCUAUGAAUAUUUAUUUUUUCUACUUCAACUAUAAAAUUAAAACAGUGGAUGUGCCAUUUUUACACUAUAUUCCAUGAAUAUUUUUAUCUAAUCCCUAUACAAUUUGGGGAUGAAUGUUUACCCACUGCAAUGUUUAAACUGAAUUCCCCUGUACAAAUUCUGUUCAAUCCUGGCCAAGUAAACAACAUUAAAGUAGAUAUCUCCGUCAACAUGGUGAGCGUGGAGUCGUCGACCUCAUCGGGAUUAAGCGUCUCCACCGUCCGAUUUGCCGAGAUCCAACGGUUGGCGCACAAACCCUAUCCCCCUCUUCUUUCUUCCUCCCUCACAGCCGCCGGCUUCUGGUACCUUCCUUCCUCGCAUCUCCUUCUCCAGUCGCCGCCCACCUUCCCCUCCCAGCUCCUUCUCUUGUCUCAGAGUCCGCAUCAGGGCACUGGACACGCACCGCCGUCGCGAACUCCAGGCCGCCCCCACACCGCCCGGGAUGCGCGUUUGGACGCCAGGGGCAGCACCGACCCAUCCCCGCGGAGCUGCAUCGCGGUGGGUGUUGCCACUGCAGUAAACGCCAAGGGAAGCGACGACCUCCACUUCCCGCGUGGCUGUGGCCGGCAGGAUACGACGCUGAGCGAGCAGCAUUGAGCUGGUACUCUCAAGGUGCCUGGCCGAGGUGGCUACGCCGAGCUGCCACCGUGGGGAUGCACCGCGUUUGGACACUGUUGGCCCUUCAUUGUUGCAGGCCCGCGUCCGUCUGCUAGGGCGUCCUCAUCGCCGAUUUUUCCGUCGACCUCGCUGGCUGUGAGUCGCUUGCCCCAGCAGCUCCACUGCGCUGUGUUUUACUUCUGAUUUUUUUGAGGCGGUCUUUGGUUGUCCAUGCCCAGGCAACGGCGCUUCAUCUUGUUCUAGUUGGUGGAGAUGGAUGCUCAGAGGUGAUAUGGUGGAUAAAUGGUGUUCUCCGCCAGAGAAUUUCUAGGACCCGCUGUAGAUUGAAUGUCUUCGUUUUGCUUCUUCAGAUGUGUAUUGUUUAGAAAUGUCCGUAAUUAUAUUUUUGUUGUGUUUUUCCUUUCCUGUAAAAUGUUAGUUUCUAGUGUGUUUAUGUAAUUUCCUUCUAUUUAAUGACAUAACAUAUAUCUUUGCAAAAAUUGUAUUGGUUGAAAGUUUGCAUAGAGAAAUGUAAGAUGGGCUAAUUUGUCGGCCCAAAAUCAGUGGGCCAUGGAUUGACUGAAA
Aegilops tauschii subsp. strangulata is the source of this 1857-nucleotide long non-coding RNA. RefSeq lists it as uncharacterized. Lineage: Eukaryota; Viridiplantae; Streptophyta; Magnoliopsida; Poales; Poaceae. The record is from RefSeq and is a predicted model, not a curated record.